GAGCCUCCAUUUUUCUUUUAUCCUUCACUUUCUUUUUUAGGUGCUUCAUUUCUAAGAGAGCCACUUGAAGCUCGACCUGAGGUGUGGAUGGCUCUGAAGACACUUGAGUCUUUCUGGAGGGAGAGCCUCUACCCCUCUGCAGUGUUUUCUCUCUGUGACUGACCCUAUUGGCUGAGCCUCUACUAGGGCUCCCUUGAGAACGAGCCUCAGAGGAGGUGUAGUCGUGGCCUCUCUUUCCUUCAAAUGUUCUCUUCAAGCGCUCUAUAUAAUUGUGAGCUCGGUGCCUGUCUCUUUCGGCCCC
This 301-nucleotide long non-coding RNA is filed under the name Elaeis guineensis (African oil palm). RNAcentral describes it as "long non-coding RNA (EGUI_LNC034803)". Lineage: Eukaryota; Viridiplantae; Streptophyta; Magnoliopsida; Arecales; Arecaceae. The record is from RNAcentral.